Molecule: transfer RNA, 60 nt
Filed under: Laemobothrion maximum
Lineage: Eukaryota; Metazoa; Arthropoda; Insecta; Psocodea; Laemobothriidae
Description: tRNA-Thr
Source: RNAcentral
GAUUUCAUAAUUUAAGUAAAAUAUUGAUCUUGUACAUCAAAAUUGGGUUUCCUGAAAUUA